This 139-nucleotide small nucleolar RNA is filed under the name Ornithorhynchus anatinus (platypus). The record is from RNAcentral. Lineage: Eukaryota; Metazoa; Chordata; Mammalia; Monotremata; Ornithorhynchidae.
ACCCUCUCAGGGUCGCUCCUGGAGAGUUUCCAGUACUCUACCAGUCUCGACUAUGGGAGGGAGAGUCAAGCAGAGGCAUACUCAAAUCCAUUCCUAGCUUGACCAGUGGCUAGCGAGUGGAAGGCAAUCUGCCACAAGU